This 81-nucleotide non-coding RNA is filed under the name unclassified sequences. The record is from Rfam.
AUAAUGAUACUUUUGAGUAGCCACAGACUCAAUCAACGGGCUCAACUCUGUGAGAACCACAGAGAGGUGAAAUUCCUAUGG